GGCCCCGUAGUUCAAUGGAUAGAACGGAAGUUUCCUAAACUUUAAAUACAGGUUCGAUUCCUGUCGGGGCUACCA
Molecule: transfer RNA, 75 nt
Filed under: Chitinophagaceae bacterium
Lineage: Bacteria; Pseudomonadati; Bacteroidota; Chitinophagia; Chitinophagales; Chitinophagaceae
Also listed under: 1 other name
Description: tRNA-Arg
Rfam family: tRNA
About the family: Transfer RNA (tRNA) molecules are approximately 80 nucleotides in length. Their secondary structure includes four short double-helical elements and three loops (D, anti-codon, and T loops).
Source: RNAcentral